UACGAAGGGGGCGAGCGUUGUUCGGAGUUACUGGGCGUAAAGGGCGCGUAGGCGGCGAUCUAAGUUAGGUGUGAAAGCCCCGGGCUUAACCUGGGAAUUGCGCUUAAGACUGGACUGCUUGAGUGCGGGAGAGGUGAGUGGAAUUCCCAGUGUAGAGGUGAAAUUCGUAGAUAUUGGGAAGAACACCUGCGGCGAAGGCGGGUUGCUGGGCCGACGCUGACGCUGAUGCGCGAAAGCGUGGGGAGCGAACCGG
This 253-nucleotide ribosomal RNA is filed under the name uncultured bacterium. RNAcentral's name for it is "partial 16S ribosomal RNA". It matches the Rfam family "Bacterial small subunit ribosomal RNA", at positions 524 to 776 of the family's 1533-position model. The record is from RNAcentral.